UACGUAGGGGGCCAGCGUUGCUCGGAAUUACUGGGCGUAAAGGGUUCGUAGGUGGUGCGGUAAGUUGGAAGUGAAAUCUUUGGGCUUAACCCAGAGGCUGCUUUCAAAACUGCCGUGCUCGAGUGCGAGAGAGGUCAGUGGAAUUGCAGGUGUAGCGGUGAAAUGCGUAGAUAUCUGCAGGAACACCCGUGGCGAAGGCGGCUGACUGGAUCGCAACUGACACUCAGGUGCGACAGCGUGGGGAGCAAACAGG
RNAcentral lists this ribosomal RNA (253 nucleotides) under uncultured prokaryote. RNAcentral describes it as "partial 16S ribosomal RNA". It matches the Rfam family "Bacterial small subunit ribosomal RNA", at positions 524 to 776 of the family's 1533-position model. The record is from RNAcentral.